This 507-nucleotide ribosomal RNA is filed under the name uncultured bacterium. RNAcentral's name for it is "bacterial SSU rRNA". It matches the Rfam family "Bacterial small subunit ribosomal RNA", at positions 18 to 518 of the family's 1533-position model. The record is from RNAcentral.
CCUGGCUUAGGAUGAACGCUAGCGGCAGGCUUAACACAUGCAAGUCGAGGGGCAUCGGGAGUAGCAAUACUUGCCGGCGACCGGCGCAAGGGUGCGUAACGCGUGAGCAACAUGCCCGUAUCAGGGGGAUAAUCCAUGGAAACGUGGUCUAAUACCCCAUAGUAAUUAUGUAAGGCAUCUUAUAUAAUUUAAAGCUUUGGUGGAUACGGAUUGGCUCGCGUGACAUUAGCUAGAUGGUAGGGUAACGGCUUACCAUGGCUACGAUGUCUAGGGGUUCUGAGAGGAAGGUCCCCCACACUGGAACUGAGACACGGUCCAGACUCCUACGGGAGGCAGCAGUGAGGAAUAUUGGACAAUGGAUGGAAAUCUGAUCCAGCCAUGCCGCGUGCAGGAAGAACCGGCCCUAUGGGUUGUAAACUGCUUUUGUAUGGGAGCAAUAAGGGCUACGCGUAGUCCGAUGAGAGUACCAUACGAAUAAGCACCGGCUAACUCCGUGCCAGCAGCAGC